UUUUGUCUAUCUCCUCUGGUUCAAAAGUUGUAGUGCUAAAACAUCGAAAUUUGCCCACCCUGUACAUGGUAGGAAGGACUAGAACGAAUAAGGGAUUCAGAGUACGAAUUGGAAACCAAUAUAUGGUCUUCAGAUUCGAUAUUGUUUCUAAUCAAGAAACCAAUGAUAGCGAAUACUACAAUGGCUGAAAGCAAACAUAGUUGCCAAACAGCUUUUUCCAACCAAACAACUGCUGAAACAAAAAGAAAAAGCGAUUAGAGGCGCUAUGACAUAUGAAUACAACCCCCAAGAUAUUGAAAGAAUUGAAAAGGAAAGAUUUUUAAGAAAUCCACACAAUAUUCGAGAAAAGAACAUUAGCGCAAGAAAUCGAUAGGGCCAAUCUAUUGGAUAUUAGGUUGGUUGAGUUGGAGCAGAGAGCUUGUCAUCUUGAUAAGGUCAGCACCUCCACAAAAUCAAGCAUCGCUCAGAUCAACGACCGAAAUAGGAAUAUUGAAGAAACUGAAAUGGCUAUUAUCUUAGUGCCGAAAAGGACUCACAAUCCCAAAAUGUACGAGAAGGAAAGGCAUUGACAAACUGAUAUAUGUAUAUAUGUGAAUAAUCCUUUUGUAAUAAUUUGGAUAAUAUGCAAGAUAUAAGAUAUUUGCAUUAACCCAGUGAAAAGUUGAUUUUACAGAUAAAAAAAAUUGUUUUAUAUGUGAAAAGAUUAAUAUUUUAGUCUUCAAAUGUUCUUGUUUAGCAGUAUUUUGCAUAACUUAUUUUUUGUAUUUAUUAUAAAUUUUUUAAUAUAUUUCACCAUUUUCUUA
Harmonia axyridis is the source of this 803-nucleotide long non-coding RNA. RefSeq lists it as uncharacterized. Lineage: Eukaryota; Metazoa; Arthropoda; Insecta; Coleoptera; Coccinellidae. The transcript has 3 exons. The record is from RefSeq and is a predicted model, not a curated record.